GCCGGAAUGAACUUCGAUGGUUCGGAGUGCAGGCUUCAAACCUGUAGACGCUUAGCGGCGUAAUGGUUCGAUUCCAUCUUUCCGGU
Molecule: non-coding RNA, 86 nt
Organism: Strongyloides stercoralis
Lineage: Eukaryota; Metazoa; Nematoda; Chromadorea; Rhabditida; Strongyloididae
Source: Rfam